This 497-nucleotide ribosomal RNA is filed under the name uncultured bacterium. RNAcentral's name for it is "partial 16S ribosomal RNA". It matches the Rfam family "Bacterial small subunit ribosomal RNA", at positions 28 to 507 of the family's 1533-position model. The record is from RNAcentral.
GAUGAACGCUGGCGGCGUGCCUAAUACAUGCAAGUCGAGCGAACAGACGAGGAGCUUGCUCCUCUGACGUUAGCGGCGGACGGGUGAGUAACACGUGGAUAACCUACCUAUAAGACUGGGAUAACUUCGGGAAACCGGAGCUAAUACCGGAUAAUAUAUUGAACCGCAUGGUUCAAUAGUGAAAGACGGUUUUGCUUUCACUUAUAGAUGGAUCCGCGCCGCAUUAGCUAGUUGGUAAGGUAACGGCUUACCAAGGCAACGAUGCGUAGCCGACCGGAGAGGGUGAACGGCCACACUGGAAGUGAGACACGGUCCAGACUCCUACGGGAGGCAGCAGUAGGGAAUCUUACGCAAUGGGCGAAAGCUUGACGGAGCAACGCCGCGUGAGUGAUGAAGGUCUUCGGAUCGUAAAACUCUGUUAUUAGGGAAGAACAAAUGUGUAAGUAACUAUGCACGUCUUGACGGUACCUAAUCAGAAAGCCACGGCUAACUACGUG